GACGAACGCUGGCGGCGUGCCUAAUACAUGCAAGUUGAGCGCUGAAGGCUGGUACUUGUACCAACUGGAUGAGCAGCGAACGGGUGAGUAACGCGUGGGGAAUCUGCCUUUGAGCGGGGGACAACAUUUGGAAACGAAUGCUAAUCCCGCAUAAAAACUUUAAACACAAGUUUUAAGGUUGAAAGAUGCAAUUGCAUCACUCAAAGAUGAUCCCGCGUUGUAUUAGCUAGUUGGUGAGGUAAAGGCUCACCAAGGCGAUGAUACAUAGCCGACCUGAGAGGGUGAUCGGCCACAUUGGGACGGAGACACGGCCCAAACUCCUACGGGAGGCAGCAGUAGGGAAUCGUCGGCCAUGGACGAAAGUCUGACCGAGCAACGCCGCGGGAGUGAAGAAGGUUUUCGGAUCGGAAAACUCUGUUGGUAGAGAAGAACGUUGGUGAGAGUGGAAAGCUCAUCAAGUGACGGUAACUACCCAGAAAGGGACGGCUAACUACGUG
Molecule: ribosomal RNA, 497 nt
Filed under: uncultured bacterium
Lineage: Bacteria
Description: partial 16S ribosomal RNA
Rfam family: Bacterial small subunit ribosomal RNA
Source: RNAcentral